Non-coding RNA from Paramuricea clavata, 877 nucleotides. The record is from the annotation of a GenBank genome assembly. Lineage: Eukaryota; Metazoa; Cnidaria; Anthozoa; Malacalcyonacea; Plexauridae.
GAAUGAUAGAAUGACAUAAAUCGAGAUUGUGGCGGCUAUAAACUCGGCGGUCACGUGGUAAGCACACCACGUGUAGAGAUUAGUGUGCUGCCGAGCUACGCUCGGCAGCAAUAAUAUCACUGCAACUUAGACUUAGUAUGAAAAUAUCGGCAUAUCGCUGCAUAAAAAAUAAAUUUGACAAGCAAUACAAUAUAAUUGACUUUACACCAUGUACCGCAGAGCUUGGAGCGCGGGCGCAGAAGAUGAUGACGUCAUAGGAAGACACGCAGGCAUUGGGCGAGGGAGGGAAAAGAAUAAAGGGAUGAAACAACGGUUUUUUUAACGCGAUGUGUGUUCCGCAAGUAGCCAGGACAUCUCGUAUAUCGUCGGGAGGUCGGAAAUCGUCGGGUUUUUUGCGGAAACCAAAAAGGCGGGAAAGUGCAAUAAAUUUCAAAAUCGAAAAAUUAUGUUAUAGACAAAUUAUGUUGUAACAAAGCAAAUGCCUUGAAAGAAGAGUUAAUCUGUUUCUUGUACUAUUUGUGAUGAUUUCCACCAAGUAAAAGGUACAGUAUGAAUUUGAAAAUGUCUAGAAAUAUUUUACUGUACCGUAUUGUUCAGUACAAUUUAGCAGAUUCCCACGAGUUUUUAAUCAAACACUCUUGCAAAUAUCGCAAUGCGGUUGCCUGUAAUAAUUUGUUACAAUAAUAGCUGUAAGAUAUAUUUUCGAAGGCUAUUUGUAUAUUAUGGUUUGCUGAAUUUGUAUUUUAAAUAUUUAGAAACACAUGGCCAGACUAUGGGCUAUGGCCUAUAAUUCUCAGACUCUUAGGGGCUGAUUACAUGGACCGGGCCAGCCCGGUUAACCGGGCUGAAAAAUGUCACGAAAAUCUUCCUUGGGCCG